AGUGAACGCUGGCGGUAGGCCUAACACAUGCAAGUCGAACGGCAGCACAGUAAUAGCUUGCUCUUACGGGUGGCGAGUGGCGGACGGGUGAGGAAUACAUCGGAAUCUACUUUUUCGUGGGUGAUAACGUAGGGAAACUUACGCUAAUACCGCAUACGACCUACGGGUGAAAGCAUGGGAUCUUCGGACCUUGCGCGAUUGAAUGAGCCGAUGUCGGAUUAGCUAGUUGGCGGGGUAAAGGCCCACCAAGGCGACGAUCCGUAGCUGGUCUGAUAGGAUGAUCAGCCACACUGGAACUGAGACACGGUCCAGACUCCUACGGGAGGCAGCAGUGGGGAAUAUUGGACAAUGGGCGAAAGCCUGAUCCAGCCAUACCGCGUGGGUGAAGAAGGACUUCGGGUUGUAAAGCCCUUUUGUUGGGAAAGAAAAGCAGCAGGUUAAUACCCCGCUGUUCUGACGGUACCAAAAGAAUAAGCACCGGCUAACUUCGUG
This 492-nucleotide ribosomal RNA is filed under the name uncultured bacterium. RNAcentral's name for it is "partial 16S ribosomal RNA". It matches the Rfam family "Bacterial small subunit ribosomal RNA", at positions 29 to 507 of the family's 1533-position model. The record is from RNAcentral.